RNAcentral lists this long non-coding RNA (3421 nucleotides) under Mus musculus (house mouse). RNAcentral's name for it is "long non-coding RNA chr18:46758556-46761977". Lineage: Eukaryota; Metazoa; Chordata; Mammalia; Rodentia; Muridae. The record is from RNAcentral.
UCCAGUUCAAACCAUGUCAAGGGCUGUAGAAACUAAAUUGACUAGGACGACUUAAGACUUCAUUUCAUCAUGCCUUGUCUGUUAUGUGAGUUACUGCAAGGAAGCCACGAUUGUGAAUCUCUCUGCAUGUGUCUAAAUCUGGCCUGGAGACUUAACUCUUCUGAAAAGCUUUUGGAAUGUCUAGCACUCGUCAGUUAUCAGAAAACUCAUAUUUUGAAUCUUAACUGUUAUAUUGCUUCAACUCUUUAAACCUUGCUUCUUCUUCAUUAUUGCCUUCAACCUUCACAAGUAACAGUUUGUGUGUGUGUGUGUGUGUGUGUUUGCUUCUUCAUAUCAUUGAGCCUAGAGAUGUUCUAUUUGUUUUUUCCAGGAUAUCUUCUUUUAUAACAUCUCCAGAUUUUAUCUCAUGUUAUCAGACUGGUCAUCUUGCUACUCGUUUAGUUGUAUCCAUCUCUGUCUAUCUCCCAUACUUGGGGCUUUGGUCAACAACUGUAGAGGGUUAGAGAUUAACUUGUAGUUUAAAGGGUAACAGCAGAAGAUGAGACAGAAGAUUUCUUCUUGUAUUACUAAUAAUAGAAGCAUUAUCCACAAAACAAAACACCCCAAACCAUGCUGACAUUUGCCUGCAUUAGUUCUCAGUUCCAGAAGGGUGCUAUGAAGGUGAUGCUGCACCCCAGCAGAUCAGAUCACAUAGGGGACAGAGUUAGGGAGCUGACAUUCUCUAUAGUAGGUGAAUCAUGUCUGCUCUGAAAAGGAUGAGAGUCUCUUUAGAAGAAAAGGGAAGCUUAUCCUUUUCUCUUAAGUAAGACCCUAUUUUCCGAGUCUGUUUGUCAGUGUGACAGAUUUGAAAAGAUAGUGCAAGACACAGAUAACAAUUGCCUCUGUUCCUAGGAUUGCAGAAACCUACAAUCUAUAGACUUCAGAGUUGCUUCUUACCCAGUGACAGUCAGUAGAAGUUUGUCUGCACGUGUGAAGGCCCGUGGGGACUUCAGUGUUCAGAUGUGUAAUAGUUGGUAGCCUCAUGCCUUCAGACUUGGAACUACAUUCCUUCAGAGCUUUGCCUUCUGUCCCAGCUUUCUGUUCAUGUCUCAUUUUUUUUUUUUUAAGUACAAAGUACUACUUAGUCCACAACCUGUUUCAAUUUCUACUCUCAGUUGCCUUUUUAUCUUUCUGUUUUACUGUUGCUCUUAUUCUAGGCCCCUCAGGUUUCAACAUGUCAUGUUUUUUCAUUCUCCCUGGUCCUACUGAGGUCUGACUUGUCUUUAUUUAGCUUAGAUUCCAGGGGUAGUCAGUGUGCCUAUGCAGUUAACUCCUGGCCUGUUCUCAGACAUCUGAAAAUAUGCAGAAGAAAAGCACAGUCCUAUUUCCUGUCCACUUUAGAUCCAUGAGCAUGGCUCUCAGGAAGUCCUCAGUGCUGUCCACUGAUUACAGUUUAUCUCUGUGCUCCAAUUUUCACUCUUGACACCAUUUCUCUACACUGUAGCUAGACCUCACUUCUCGACCAUCACAAGCAAAAUUGAAGCAGUCAGGAGAGAACAUUGGCAGGCUCUUGCUGUGUACCUGCCUGCCUACUGUGUGUUGUAGAAACGUUGCACUCACUGUGCUCCUUUUGAGGUUAGCUUUCACUUCACUUCCUCUUGCUCCAGCAACACAACACCCCUCACUUUGUAGCAUUUGUAGCCUCUUCUAAAUCAUUCCCUCAUCCAGCCCUGGGCUCUGCCACCUUCGCUUCCUUUCUACCACUCUCUUAAUUUCUUUCUCUCCUUGAUAGCAAACAUUUUGCUAUAGAAGGAAUAUCUGAAACUGUUUUGUUCUCUUGUGUUAUUGGUGCUGAAUUCCAGGUUCCAGCAGUCUUCCUCUGUUUGAUUCAGAUUGCCAUUGUCUCUUGACAAGGACUCUACUUGAACUUGAGGGUACUUUUCUUGCCUGCUUUUUGUCUUGAGUAUCUUCUCUUUAUUCCUUUGGUAAUGUGAUUUCAUCCAAAUAAUAUCUACUAAAUUUGGUAUUGAUGGUACCAAAUUUAAUCUUUAGCCUAGACCUUUCCUUUGAAAGGCUGAUUUUAAGGCCCAAUAUCCUAUUGAAUGUCUCCGCUUGGGUAUUACAUGAAGAUCUUACACUGAGGUAGAUUUAAAAUCUAUACUUUCUGCAGUUUUUGUCUUAUUGUUACUAGCAGCUAAACUCUUCAAGUGGAUGAGUCAGAACCUGAGUGCUUGCUUGUUCUUGGGUCUUAUUCUCUGUGUUCGGCUCCAUCUUAAGCAAAUCCUUUGCCUGAGCUCUCAUUUCUUCACUGUGGUCCAGGCUACCCCAUUUGUCUGUAUUUUGGCAGUUUCCUGACAGUCUCUCUACUGUUUUAGGUCUUUACGUGGUGCACCAGUCAAGUGCUGUUGUAACACACCGCAUCUCAUACCUUUUAUUCUAGACUCUUUAUAACCUCAGCUUUUAUUAGAGUAAAAGCCACAUUUGUCAUGGGCUACCCAGGAGCCUAUGUGUUCCGACCCCCCUCCUGUUGCUUGUCUUCUGUCUCCUCCUGUGCUUAGCCUCUUGUUGAUGCUUCAGGACAGGCCUUUGCCUACUUUAGACUUUGUACUUGCUGACUUAUACCUGGGAUGUUCUUCCCUUUGCUACUCACUUGGCAGGCUCCAUUUCAGUCUUCCAGAUUUUGACUAGAAACUACCUUUUCAAUACGGAAUUCUCUAGCCACGCUUUCUAGCAGUCCCCUCUGCAUUUCUAACCAUUGAUCUGCUCUAUUUUCCCCUAGCACCCGUUAUUUUAUAUGAUGCUUUAUUAUCAUUUACUGCUAAUAGAAUAAAAACUCCAUGAGGGCCUAGAGUUAUGUUAUUUAUUGAUUUACCUACCAGGACUAUAUAUUGUGUUGCGUUAUUGUUGCUGAUUUAUACAAGGAAUAGUAGUCUUCAACAAAUAAUUGUUUGAUGCCCAAGUAAAUGAAUGAAUUUAAUGCCCAUAUACAGUAUUUAGUAUAAAAUAACUGACAAUAAAGCCAAAAAGUUAGUUAGAAUAAUUAUAUGGAAGGUAUAGCUGUCACUCAUAUGCUAUGGACAUUUUCUUAUCUGAGUUCUACUUGAUUUGCUAAUUAUGAGAAGCAUUAAGUCAUAUAUCCAUAUAUAUAUAUAUACAUACACAUAUAUAUACACACACACAUAUAUAUGUGUAUAUAUAUGAUUUUCUUAUAUUUUCAUCUUAUAUGCCACAUCUCUAAAAGCUAAAGAAAAAGGAAGAAAAAAGUAAAUUGCAUUCACAAAUGUAGUUGUAGGCCAGGGAAUAGGUAAAAGCACUUGCCUUGCAAGCGGACUGACUUGAGCUCAGUCUGUGAACAGAAUCUACAUGGUAGAAAGAACCAGCUCCAUGAAGUUGUCCUCUAACCUCCACAUAUGUAGCUCUGUGUGUGUGUGUAAACACUAAU